AGCGAACGCUGGCGGCAGGCCUAACACAUGCAAGCCGAACGAACCUUUCGGGGUUAGUGGCGGACGGGUGAGUAACACGUGGGAACGUGCCUUUAGGUUCGGAAUAACUCAGGGAAACUUGUGCUAAUACCGAAUGUGCCCUUCGGGGGAAAGAUUAAUCGCCUUUAGAGCGGCCCGCGUCUGAUUAGCUAGUUGGUUGAGGUAAUGGCUCACCAAGGCGACGAUCAGUAGCUGGUCUGAGAGGAUGAUCAGCCACAUUGGGACUGAGACACGGCCCAAACUCCUACGGGAGGCAGCAGUGGGGAAUCUUGCGCAAUGGGCGAAAGCCUGACGCAGCCAUGCCGCGUGAAUGAUGAAGGUCUUAGGAUUGUAAAAUUCUUUCACCGGGGACGAUAAUGACGGUACCCGGAGAAGAAGCCCCGGCUAACUUCGUG
Molecule: ribosomal RNA, 434 nt
Filed under: uncultured bacterium
Lineage: Bacteria
Description: partial 16S ribosomal RNA
Rfam family: Bacterial small subunit ribosomal RNA
Source: RNAcentral